This is a long non-coding RNA of Hibiscus syriacus, 197 nucleotides long. RefSeq lists it as uncharacterized. The transcript has 3 exons. The record is from RefSeq and is a predicted model, not a curated record. Lineage: Eukaryota; Viridiplantae; Streptophyta; Magnoliopsida; Malvales; Malvaceae.
GCCAUGAGAGAACAAAUAAGUGAAAGUACCAAGAUUCUUAAGGAAUUGAUCCCUGGUUGCAAUAAGGGUCAGGGAGCUGUUUUGCUUGAUGAGAUCUUUAGUUACAUUCAAUCGUUACAACGCCAGGUCGAGUUCUUGUCAAUGGAGCUUGCUGCAGUCAAUCCAAGAACGAACGCUGCGGUUAAAGCAUUUCCUCU